Molecule: ribosomal RNA, 319 nt
Filed under: uncultured eukaryote
Lineage: Eukaryota
Description: partial 18S ribosomal RNA
Rfam family: Eukaryotic small subunit ribosomal RNA
Source: RNAcentral
CCCUUAGAUGUUCUGGGCAGCACGCGCGCUACAAUGGUCUUCGCAAACGGAUGCAUUCUCGAAGGAGAAUGCCAAUCUUGGAAUCUAUGCCUUGGUCGGGACAGUUGCUUGCAAUUUUUCGACUCGAACCAGGAAUUCCUUGUAAUCGUGAUUCAUCACAUCACGAUGAAUACGUCCCUGCCCUUUGUACACACCGCCCGUCGCUCCUACCGAUCGAAGAGUUAGGUGAAUUGUUUUGAUCGAUAAGAUUUGACUAUGGUCAACUCGCGUUGUGAAAUUCUGUGAAUCUGACUGUUUAGAGGAAGGAAAAGUCGUAACA